CUCUUUCUCCUCCUGUUUAUCUUCCUCGCUCUCCUCUUUCUCCUCCUGUUUAUCUUCCUCGCUCUCCUCUUUCUCCUCCUGUUUAUCUUCCUCGCUCUCCUCUUUCUCCUCCUGUUUAUCUUCCUCGCUCUCCUCUUUCUCCUUCUGUUUAUCUUUCUCACUCUCCUCUUUCUCCUUCUGUUUAUCUUUCUCACUCUCCUCUUUGUCCUUCUUGCUCUCCUCUUUCUCAACCCCCCACACGCUUUCUUUCUUGCCCCCCUUCUUCCCCAGGUCUCUCUUCUUCCCAUACAGCCUCUCCUGGAUCCUGUCGUUCAGUCGGCCCAACUCUUCCACCCCCAGAUCCAGCCCAACAGUCUGCAGCAGGCUCUGGAUCUGUCCGUACUUCUGCUCAUCCUCAGGCCUCAUUUUCCUCUUCUCCUCCACCUGUGGAGACAUGGACUUAAGCCUCCCUUUCCUCUUCUCCUCAACAGGUGGAGACAUGGACUUAAGCCUCUCUUUCCUCUUCUCCUCAACAGGUGGAGACUUGGAC
This is a long non-coding RNA of Oncorhynchus tshawytscha (Chinook salmon), 529 nucleotides long. NCBI's taxonomy places the organism in Eukaryota, Metazoa, Chordata, Actinopteri, Salmoniformes, Salmonidae. The record is from Ensembl.